CUUGAAGUCUUAGUGGCGCAGCUAACGCGCUAAGUAGACCGCCUGGGGAGUACGGCCGCAAGGUUAAAACUCAAAUGAAUUGACGGGGGCCCGCACAAGCGGUGGAGCAUGUGGUUUAAUUCGACGCAACGCGAAGAACCUUACCUGGCCUUGACAUGCAGAGAACUUUCCAGAGAUGGAUUGGUGCCUUCGGGAACUCUGACACAGGUGCUGCAUGGCCGUCGUCAGCUCGUGUCGUGAGAUGUUGGGUUAAGUCCCGUAACGAGCGCAACCCCUAUCCCUAGUUGCUAGCAGUUCGGCUGAGAACUCUAGGGAGACUGCCGGUGACAAACCGGAGGAAGGUGGGGAUGACGUCAGGUCAUCAUGGCCCUUACGGCCAGGGCUACACACGUGCUACAAUGGUGCGUACAGAGGGCUGCAAACCCGCGAGGGGGAGCUAAUCUCACAAAACGCAUCGUAGUCCGGAUCGGAGUCUGCAACUCGACUCCGUGAAGUCGGAAUCGCUAGUAAUCGCGAAUCAGAAUGUCGCGGUGAAUACGUUCCCGGGCCUUGUACACACCGCCCGUCACACCAUGGGAGUGGAUUGCACCAGAAGUGGUUAGUCUAACCUUCGGGAGGA
Molecule: ribosomal RNA, 619 nt
Filed under: uncultured bacterium
Lineage: Bacteria
Description: bacterial SSU rRNA
Rfam family: Bacterial small subunit ribosomal RNA
Source: RNAcentral